Molecule: ribosomal RNA, 300 nt
Filed under: Fastidiosipila sp.
Lineage: Bacteria; Bacillati; Bacillota; Clostridia; Eubacteriales; Oscillospiraceae
Description: partial 23S ribosomal RNA
Rfam family: Bacterial large subunit ribosomal RNA
Source: RNAcentral
ACAGUUCGGUCCCUAUCUAUCGUGGGCGUAGGAAAUUUGAGAGGCGCUGUCCCUAGUACGAGAGGACCGGGAUGGACGAACCCAUGGUGAACCGGUUGUCGCGCCAGCGGCACCGCCGGGUAGCUACGUUCGGCUGGGAUAAACGCUGAAAGCAUCUAAGUGUGAAGCCCCCCUCAAGAUGAGAUUUCCCCACGUUAUGUGAUAAGGUCCCUGAAAGACGAUCAGGUGGAUAGGCCGGGAGUGGAAGUGCAGUAAUGUAUGAAGCGGACCGGUACUAAUAGACCGAAGACUUGACCACAA